UGGCGGCGUGCCUAACAAUGCAAGUCGAACGAGAAAGUGGAGCAAUCCAUGAGUAAAGUGGCGACCGGGUGAGUAACACGUGACUACCUACCUCCGAGUGGGGAAUAACUCCGGGAAACCGGGGCUAAUACCGUAUAACAUCGCAAGAUCAAAGCAGCAAUGCGCUUGGAGAGGGGGUCGCGGCUGAUUAGCUAGUUGGCGAGGUAAUGGCUCACCAAGGCGAAGAUCGGUAUCCGGCCUGAGAGGGCGCACGGACACACUGGAACUGAAACACGGUCCAGACUCCUACGGGAGGCAGCAGUGGGGAAUUUUGCGCAAUGGGGGAAACCCUGACGCAGCAACGCCGCGUGGAGGAUGAAGCCCUUUGGGGCGUAAACUCCUUUCGACCGGGACGAUAAUGACGGUACCGGUGGAAGAAGCACCGGCUAACUCUGUGCCAGCAGCCGCGGUAAUACAGAGGGUGCGAGCGUUGUUCGGAAUUAUUGGGCGUUAAGGGCGCG
RNAcentral lists this ribosomal RNA (500 nucleotides) under uncultured bacterium. RNAcentral's name for it is "bacterial SSU rRNA". It matches the Rfam family "Bacterial small subunit ribosomal RNA", at positions 37 to 571 of the family's 1533-position model. The record is from RNAcentral.